UGAAACGAUUCAUCGAGUAACUCGAGUAACUCGAUUACAAAAAAUCCUCGAGGAAAUUUAUCUGCCUCGAAGCUUCGCUAAAUUUAUUGUAUUGUAAUAAGCAAUGCUGUUAAAUACGCAGCACACUGGUCUAGCCGGAGGGUUUUUGUGUUGCACAACGCUACCACUUCCGUUAGCGCCUGGAGCACAUUUGCUAAGUCUGUAGCUAUGGAGGGAACCGGAGAAUGCUCAGAAGGAGAACCCCGAAAGCGACAAAAAAUGUCAAAAGUUUGGGAACAUUUUGGGCUAAACAGAAAGGACAACACAGCGCAAUGCAUCCACUGCAAAGCAGAAUUGGCGUACCACAACAGCACGACAUCAAUGUUGCAGCAUCUGAAGAGAAAACACCCGCUACAUGCAUCCAACUCGUACACGGUUGCCAACAGUGAACUGAAGAGUCAUACGUUGGACAGCUUUGUUCAAAGGGUUCCAGGAUGUUCGGUUGUUCAAGCAGCUGAGUUCACAAACAGCAUUUUAAAUAUUCUACCUCAGAUUUGAAACUUAUAAUUUGAAUGUAUAAAAGGCAGUAUUCUCUGGUUUGCCUUAACUUUUCUAUUUAAAGCUAAUGAAUAUUUUUUUACUCUUUUGUGUUAGCACUGAAAAAAGCAAGGAAUUUGUUGCACCUUAGACUUAGAUUUUAUUGUAUAAAAUGCAGUAUUUACUAUUUUGUCUAAACUUGUUUUAUUUUUAAAUCAAGUAUUUUCUUUAUUUAUCUUUUCUGUUUGAACUUUAGAACAAAAAAGCAAGAGAUUUGCUGUACUACUGAUUUGAAACUUUACUGGAGGUUUAAUGUUAUUGCGUUAUUAUCAAUAAAAUGUUAGAGUUAAAUGA
Long non-coding RNA from Xiphophorus hellerii (green swordtail), 870 nucleotides. RefSeq lists it as uncharacterized. The transcript has 2 exons. Lineage: Eukaryota; Metazoa; Chordata; Actinopteri; Cyprinodontiformes; Poeciliidae. The record is from RefSeq and is a predicted model, not a curated record.